AUUGAACGCUGGCGGCAGGCCUAACACAUGCAAGUCGAACGGUAACAGGAAGAAGCUUGCUUCUUUGCUGACGAGUGGCGGACGGGUGAGUAAUGUCUGGGAAACUGCCUGAUGGAGGGGGAUAACUACUGGAAACGGUAGCUAAUACCGCAUAACGUCGCAAGACCAAAGAGGGGGACCUUCGGGCCUCUUGCCAUCGGAUGUGCCCAGAUGGGAUUAGCUAGUAGGUGGGGUAACGGCUCACCUAGGCGACGAUCCCUAGCUGGUCUGAGAGGAUGACCAGCCACACUGGAACUGAGACACGGUCCAGACUCCUACGGGAGGCAGCAGUGGGGAAUAUUGCACAAUGGCGCAAGCCUGAUGCAGCCAUGCCGCGUGUAUGAAGAAGGCCUUCGGGUUGUAAAGUACUUUCAGCGGGGAGGAAGGGAGUAAAGUUAAUACCUUGGCUCAUUGACGUUACCCGCAGAAGAAGCACCGGCUAACUCCGUG
This 489-nucleotide ribosomal RNA is filed under the name uncultured bacterium. Its description in RNAcentral is "partial 16S ribosomal RNA". It matches the Rfam family "Bacterial small subunit ribosomal RNA", at positions 30 to 507 of the family's 1533-position model. The record is from RNAcentral.